UUUUUGAUAUUAAGACCCUGGAAAUGAAGCCAAGUCCCCGGUUAUACCGAAUUAUUUAACGAUAUUACGAAAGCAUCAAAGAAAAAAGGAAACACAUCAUGGUACGAUAACAUAAGUUCACGGACGCCGCUGCCUGGCGUAGUGACCUGGCCGCAGUAACCUGAGUGACAUAUAGUGAAGUGUUGGGAACUCCUUCGGUUUAAGGAAUAUUUUAAAGCAAAAGAGGAGUCUUACGCAGUCUUACGAUAGUCUUUCUCUUCUUGGGUGCCAUAAGCUCGCCACAGGUGUCCUCCAGCCUAUGUAAAGCAACAGGAAAGGGGAGAAGCAGAGAAUUUGAAGAAACAGAGAGAACGAAGGGAGGAAUGAGAGAAAGAGAGAUAACAGGAGAAGAGGAAGGAUAUAGCGAGAAGUAGCGACUAGGAGAGGACAAGAAGAAAUAGGAGAAAAAAGAA
Penaeus vannamei (Pacific white shrimp) is the source of this 452-nucleotide non-coding RNA. The record is from RefSeq and is a predicted model, not a curated record. Lineage: Eukaryota; Metazoa; Arthropoda; Malacostraca; Decapoda; Penaeidae.